ACGAACGCUGGCGGCAGGCUUAACACAUGCAAGUCGAGCGCAUCCUUCGGGGUGAGCGGCAGACGGGUGAGUAACGCGUGGGAAUCUACCCAUCUCUACGGAAUAACGCAUGGAAACGUGUGCUAAUACCGUAUACGCCCUUUGGGGGAAAGAUUUUAUCGGAGAUGGAUGAGCCCGCGUUGGAUUAGCUAGUUGGUGGGGUAAAGGCCUACCAAGGCGACGAUCCAUAGCUG
RNAcentral lists this ribosomal RNA (233 nucleotides) under Rhizobiaceae bacterium ISO630_OTU2755. RNAcentral's name for it is "partial 16S ribosomal RNA". It matches the Rfam family "Bacterial small subunit ribosomal RNA", at positions 29 to 289 of the family's 1533-position model. RNAcentral also lists the same sequence under 1 other name. Lineage: Bacteria; Pseudomonadati; Pseudomonadota; Alphaproteobacteria; Hyphomicrobiales; Rhizobiaceae. The record is from RNAcentral.